Molecule: unclassified non-coding RNA, 520 nt
Filed under: uncultured Glomus
Lineage: Eukaryota; Fungi; Glomeromycota; Glomeromycetes; Glomerales; Glomeraceae
Description: SSU rRNA
Rfam family: Eukaryotic small subunit ribosomal RNA
Source: RNAcentral
AGCAGCCGCGGUAAUUCCAGCUCCAAUAGCGUAUAUUAAAGUUGUUGCAGUUAAAAGCUCGUAGUUGAAUUUCGGGAUUAAUACGUUGGUCGUGCCUUGGUACGUACUGGCAUUAUUGAUUCCUACCUUCUGAAGAACCUCGAUGUCAUUAAUUUGGUGUCUUGGGGAAUCAGGACCGUUACUUUGAAAAAUUAGAGUGUUUAAAGCAGGCUCGCGCUUGAAUACAUUAGCAUGGAAUAAUGAAAUAGGACGUUUGAUUCUAUUUUGUUGGUUUCUAGGAUCGACGUAAUGAUUAAUAGGGAUAGUUGGGGGCAUUAGUAUUCAAUUGUCAGAGGUGAAAUUCUUGGAUUUAUUGAAGACUGACUACUGCGAAAGCAUUUGCCAAGGAUGUUUUCAUUAAUCAAGAACGAAAGUUAGGGAUCGAAGACGAUCAGAUACCGUCGUAGUCUUAACCAUAAACUAUGCCGACUAGGGAUCGGAUGAUGUUAAUUUUUUAAUGUACUCAUUCGGCGCCUUAACC